RNAcentral lists this small nuclear RNA (21 nucleotides) under Arabidopsis thaliana (thale cress). RNAcentral describes it as "snRNA_14955". Lineage: Eukaryota; Viridiplantae; Streptophyta; Magnoliopsida; Brassicales; Brassicaceae. The record is from RNAcentral.
ACGCGGAUUACGGUGGCGGCC